AGGACGAACGCUGGCGGCGCGCCUAACACAUGCAAGUCGAGCGUGAAGCGGGACUUCGGUCCCGUGGAAAGCGGCGAACGGGUGCGUAACACGUGAGCAACCUGCCCCGAAGACCGGGAUAACCCGAGGAAACUCGAGCUAAUACCGGAUGUCCUUACCGAGUCGCAUGGCUUGGUAAGGAAAUGGAUUCCGCUUCGGGAUGGGCUCGCGGUCUAUCAGCUUGUUGGUGGGGUAACGGCCUACCAAGGCGACGACGGAUAGCUGGUCUGAGAGGACGAUCAGCCACACUGGGACUGAGACACGGCCCAGACUCCUACGGGAGGCAGCAGUGGGGAAUCUUGCGCAAUGGGGGAAACCCUGACGCAGCGACGCCGCGUGCGGGAUGAAGGCCUCGGGUUGUAACCGCUUUCAGCGGGACGAAAUUGACGGUACCGCAGAAGAGGACCGGCCAACUACGUGCCAGCAGCCGC
Molecule: ribosomal RNA, 470 nt
Filed under: uncultured bacterium
Lineage: Bacteria
Description: SSU rRNA
Rfam family: Bacterial small subunit ribosomal RNA
Source: RNAcentral